RNAcentral lists this ribosomal RNA (423 nucleotides) under Bacillota bacterium. RNAcentral's name for it is "Firmicutes bacterium partial 16S ribosomal RNA". It matches the Rfam family "Bacterial small subunit ribosomal RNA", at positions 355 to 776 of the family's 1533-position model. Lineage: Bacteria; Bacillati; Bacillota. The record is from RNAcentral.
UAGGGAAUAUUGGGCAAUGGCCGAGAGGCUGACCCAGCCAUGCCGCGUGCAGGAAGAAGGCCUUCUGGGUUGUAAACUGCUUUUAUCUAGGAAGAAAACGCCCCUGCGGGGGUAACUGACGGUACUAGAUGAAUAAGCACCGGCUAACUCCGUGCCAGCAGCCGCGGUAAUACGGAGGGUGCAAGCGUUGUCCGGAUUUAUUGGGUUUAAAGGGUGCGUAGGCGGCCCGUUAAGUCAGCGGUGAAAUCCCAGGGCUCAACCCUGGAACUGCCGUUGAUACUGGCGGGCUUGAGUUCGGUCGAGGCGGGCGGAACUGGUGGUGUAGCGGUGAAAUGCUUAGAUACCACCAAGAACCCCGAUUGCGUAGGCAGCUCGCUGGGCCGAAACUGACGCUGAGGCACGAAAGCGUGGGGAGCGAACAGG